This 6877-nucleotide long non-coding RNA is filed under the name Gossypium barbadense (sea-island cotton). RNAcentral's name for it is "long non-coding RNA (GBAR_LNC012835)". The record is from RNAcentral. Lineage: Eukaryota; Viridiplantae; Streptophyta; Magnoliopsida; Malvales; Malvaceae.
CUAUGACCACCUCAAUUAGUCAUAAAGCAUACAUCCAACACACAUGUCAUAUUACUAACCAUGCAUGGCAAACAGACGUAAGCACAUUAUAAACAUUAGACAUGACAUGAAUAGCUAUGCUUACAAGCCAUAAUCAAUAUGAGCCACCUCUCAUGGCCAUAUGCAUAUAACUCAAUAUAAGCCAACACAUUUGGCCAAAGAAAAAUAAUGCAUGUCAAUCAACUAGAUCCCUAUACAUGCCAUUCACUUGAAAAUUUCUAAUAUAUACUUCAUUUUUUCCAAAGGCAGCGACUUGAUAGCGUGAUGCUGCCUCCGACGAUCUCCAACUCUGAGCAAACCUGAAAACACUAAAGGAAAGGAAAGGAAAUGAGUAAGCUUUAUAGCUUAGUAAGACUGUAUGAAAAUAAUAAACAACUUAUCAACUUGCUUCUCAUGGUAACACAAUCCUAUUUGCAUUUUCUCAUGUUCCAGUCAAACUAUUUUCACGAGUCAUAGUCACUAAAUUAUUUAUAUAUGGAGCUACGAAACUCCAAAUUAAUUUCCGCUAAUUUUUUCAAAAACUAGACUCACAUAUAUUAUUACCAUAAAAUUUUUAGAAUUUUUGGUUCAGCCAAUUAAUACAGUUUAUUCCUUAAAUUUACCCUUUUUAGUUGUCUGAUAGCUCUGACUCCUCUUCACUAAAAAUUAAUUAUCUCAUAAUACAGGACUUGGAUGAUGUUCCCAUCUAUUUCUCUUGAAAAUAGACUCAUUAAAAAUUCUAAUUAUAUAAAUUAAAACUCAUAACUAUUUUUUUACAAUUUUCAAUGAUUUUCUCAAAUCAGAACAGAGGAUUUCGAGGUCAUUCUGACUCUGUCUCACAACAAUUUAAAUAUUUCAUAAUAUGAACCUCUUUUGCUUACACCGUUUCUUCUAUGUAAAAUUAGACUCAUUAGGAUUUAAUUUCAUAUUUUUUUCAACCUCUAACGCAAUUUCCACAAUUUUUUGUGGAUUUUCAAAGUCAAACUAUGGCUGCUGUCCAAAACUGUUUUAGUGUAAAUUAAUGAUACUAAGUUUAUCACACCAUAUUAAUUCACUUUCACCAUAUUGGUAAGGUUACAUAUUCAUACAUCAUAAGUAUAGACCUAUAAUCACAAGGUCAUCACAAAAUCAUUCUCAUAAGCAUGAAUUACCUAUUUACAUAUUCACUAAAGGUGCAUCAUAAAUUGAAAUCAUUUCUCAUGGGCUUGACAUACAUACCUGUGUUACUCAACAUGCUCAUUUUCAUUUCUUACUAAUCAUGUAACAUGAAUUGAAUUCACAUCUCAUCAAUUUCAUGUAAGUACCUGUACCACUCACAAUAUGGUCAUAACCUUUCUCGUUUAGCUUAAACCAUAACUCUCACCGUUGAACCAUUCGGAAAGCUAUCAGAUAUUCACUAAGCCUCAAACAUAGGGUAUAAUGCUAUGCCAUGUCUCAGACAUGGUCUUACAUUGGCUCAUCCAUCAAGUCGAUGCCAAGUUCCAGAUAUGGUCUUACACUGACUAUUGAAAUCGAGGCUGACGCCAUGUCCCAAACAUGGUCUUACACUAGCUCUCACAUAUCCGUGCCAAUGCCAUGUCCCAAACAUGGUCUUACACUGAAAAAUCUCGUAGCCGAUGCAUGUUCCAGACAUGUCUUACACUAGCUUACAUCUCGAGGCCAAUGCAUGUCCCAGACAUGUCUUACACUAGCACUAAUCUCAAUGCGGAUGCCAUGUCCAAGACAUGGUCUUACACUAGCUCACAAUAACCCAUACGUCAUGGCAUGAAUAUCCGAUUUAUUCCCUAUGGUUCAAAAGGAAAUUCUACUAUCUCAAUUAUCAUUAUGCAUUCUCAUUUCCACAAUCAAGCAUUUCAUGCUAUAUCAAUUUAGCACAUAAUAAUAAUGUAGUUGUAUUAUUUACAUACAACUUACUCGUUUCAAUGGAAUAUCAUAUUCCAUCAAAUCUCCAAGCAUUCAAUCAACACAUAAAUGUCAUUUACAUUUAACAUCACUUUCUCAUAUACAAUAUCAUCAACAUAAACUUUAAUACAAUCAUGAAAAGAUAUAUUUUCAAGUAUAAUAACAAUAGCAUAAAUAUCAUGCUCAUUUAAUCACACGGACUUACAUCAAAUGAAAUUUCGGCUAAUUAUUCUCUUUUUGUCUUUAACCACGCACUUUCUCGAUUUAAGCCCAAAUCUCGAUUUUCUUGAUCUAAAAUGAUGAAAUUCACUAUUUAAUUAAUGUACUAAUCAUUUCGGACCUAAAACAUAUUUUAGAAAAAUUCACAUUUUUACCCCUAAACUUUUUCAUAAUUACUAAUUUACCCCAACGCUCGGAAAUUGAAAUUUAUUACAUUUCUAAAAGAUUUAAGACAUGAUGAACAUUUUUCUCUUCUAUGGCAGCCUCAAAUUCUCACUAUUUCAUGCUUUUAUAAACAUUAACAACUUUUACUAAUUAACCCGUUUUAACCAUUUUCAACGAAAAUCACUUAACAAAAAUCGUUCUCCUAACCUCAGGCAUCCAUAUUCUACCAUUAAACAUCAAAAUGCAUAAUUAUCUAGCAUGGGUCAAUUUUUUAAACUUCAUUUUUCAUGCAAAUAAAUGGUAGAAAUAGAAAGGUUAAGCUUUUAAGAUCUCAAAAAUACGAAGAACAUUUAAAACGGGACUCAAAUGCACUUACAAUUGAGCUUUGAAAAGCUUGAAACCCUAGCCAUGGAGUCAUGUAAAUUUCGGCAGCCAUAUAAAGAAGAUGAGCAGAUUUUUGGGCUUUUAUUUUGUCUUUUAUGCCUUAAAACACCCAAAUGACUAAAAUGCCCUUUUUGCUAACCCUUCAAUUUACCCUUCCAUGUCUAGUUUUGUCCAUACCAAAAUAUGAUGGUCUAUUUUCCAUUUAAAGACCUCUAGUUUAAACCCCCAUUUCAAACAAGUACUUAUAUUCUAGAACUCAUAUUUUGCAAUUAAUGCUAUUUAAUCCCAAUAAUAAAAUUAGGCACUUUAUCAAUAAAAUUUACUUAACAAAAUUUGCACACAAUCACUCAAACAUAUCAUGGACUCUAAAAUAGUCAUAAAAUAAAUAUUUCUACUUUUGAUUUGUAGUCUCGUAACCACUAUUCUGACUAGGCCCUAUUUCAGGCUAUUACAUACCGAGCUAUCGCAGACAAAAGCCAACAACGAAAGAGAAACAACAAAAAAGAGCAAAAGAAGAAGAAGUUGGAUUAGGGAGAUAACAAGGCAGAGAGACGAGGAAUUACAGCAAAAUUUGGGCAGCAAGAAGGGACAGAAAAGGCAGUGGUAAACAAUAAAAAAUGGAAAAAUAAGAAGUGGCAGAGAGCAGAAGAAACGUCAGUUUCCUGAAGAGAGAAUUUUGGAAAACAGGUGAGUUUUACCAUAUCCCUUAUUUUUCUCCCUCAAAUCCUACUAACAUCCCACCACUCGGAGUCCAACAUCAGCACAACUCUAGCCAAAAUUAAGAGCAAAAAUUCUACCCCCUCGCCAAUGUUGAGAAUUGAACACAAGACUCUUAACUAAUUAACACUCCACUUAACCAUUAAACCAACAGGCCCAUUUUGUUAAUUAUUUGUAAACUUUUAACUAAAAGCCUACUAACCAGAGAUAGGGCUUAAUUCAUAAAAAUAUCAAAAUCUACCCAAGUCAUGGCUCGAACUUGGGACCUCACACACACACCCAAAACACCUAACCACUGAGGCAGAUACACAGUUGUGUCACGUAUACCCAAAAACAAAAAAAUAAAAUUUUGGGACGUUUCAAAAUUAAUGUAUGAAGAAUAAAUGAAUGGCUUCAAUUUUUACGAUUUCACAAAAAUUCAAUUCAUAUGGAAAAUCUGCAUCAAGUCACAAACCUUAGUGCUCUUAUUUAGCAAGAAGAUAUUAAGAAUCUUAAAUAGUUAGUGUUGUUUUACGGUGCUACUUACGACACAUAUAUAUGUAGAGAAACCUAUUUCACCGAAUAGGUAUUUAUAUUUGAGUAAAGUGUUAUAUUAAACUUAUUCAAGACACUCAAUGUACAAAGGCAACAUAGUUGUUAGUAUAAAAUGGAAAGAAAGUAAGUAGUCGUAAAGAAACUAACAGCACAAAAAAAAUAUACUGCAGCAAGAACUGUCUACCUAUGUUUCAGUAAUCGACUUCCUUACAAGUUCUUUCAAUAGAUAGUGCACCUAAAGAUCAAAGCACAUGGCAUUCAACAGUCAGAAUAAGAGUCAUAUAAGAAUUUCACCUUUAGCAAACUUAGGAAACAAUCAAUAGAAUUUAACCAAUUCAAAAGUUUAAAAAUUUAUUUGCUACAAAGAACUAAAAUUAACCAAUUCGAAAAGAGUAAUAAAUAAAAUUGAUAAAAUUAAAAUAUAAGAACUAAAUUCACAACUUAUACAGAACUAAUGACAAAAUUUUAACCUACAAAUAAUGAUUUCAUGCUCAAUUCAUAGCUCUAAAUUAUGAACAAUUCUUAAAUGAAUACAACUGUAAAAUAAUUAGCCUUGGUUACAACAUUUUGGUCUUCCCCAAACAAGAAUCUUACACAACUACUCAAGAGGUUGGCAACAUUUCAUCAAAGGAUAAAAAAAAUAAUAAGUCAAAAAACAAACAGCAGAGUGAUUGUUACAUGCAUACCACAAGAGGGAAAAUCAAGUAUUGUUAAUGACCUAUAAACGCCUUAUGGCCUAUCGGGACAUUACCUGGCGAUAGAGUGGUGACUGGAACUUAAAGUCCACAAGGAAGUAAAGGCUGCAAGUUCCUGGGACUGGUACAGGAAUGAAUUCCCAAAUGUUUAUCAAAUGAUCGAAAAGGUUACUUUUUGAUGCAGUUAUACAGGGUCAGAUCAUCAGUAAGGGAAAAAAAUUAAAUUCAUGGACAAAAAAAAGGAUCAUCUAUACAAAUAAAUUCAUAUCAUAAAAAGCUAUUAACAAGGUUAUCCUAGAAGAACUAACACCUAUAAACAUAAAUUCAUUUGUCUGUCUAUACACAUUGGAAACUAAUUCCUAUCUAGCCUAUAAACAACUAACACCUUGCAUAUAAACAUGUUUCAGUAAGACUUAACUCACAAGAAGAUAGAAGAGAGUUUGAAAAUGUUAAAUGUUAACUAACAUUGAGUUCUGGAAUUGCAGCUUUAAAACAACUCUACGGUACAUCAAUAUCCAAAUAUACAUUAUAUCAACAAUAUCUAUGAGAUAUUACAUCAGUCCACAUGAGAUCACUUGGACAUUUUAGCAAAACCCGCUAAUUAGAACGUGGUAAAAAAAAAGAGAAUAUAGCUGAAAAUGUAUUAACAUAAACACAAACUAUGUGAAUCCACUAUAAGUCUCAAAUUUAUCUUCAUUGACCUAUGCACAAAAAGAAAAUGGCCCAAAAAUUGCAAAAGAUAAAAACACAAAAUACAGAAGAAUAAAAAUAUUGUAUGAUAGAAGCCAAGCUUUUACUACUUACUAAUGAGCAUAAGAAAUAUUUCCAUAAAUGAUUACAUUCAAAGGUGUAUGUCUCUCUUUCGCCUCCUCAAAUCAAUAAUUUGCAGCUCUUCCAAAAUGACACAAGAUAUUAGUUCAAGAUGAGGCAAAUUUACCUAUUUUGGCCAUUGACCAUUUCAUAGCCCCCAUAAUGGCCAUAAAAUUCACCAAACAAACUUUAACUAGUCUACCACAAUUUUCCAAACAAAAAUUAUAUUUUUUUUAAAAAAAAGCAGAAGCAAGAUGCUCAAGAAACAUAGUACUUUAACCAGAUAAGUCCAUUCAAACACAUGAGAACAUUGAACCAGGUAUGCACUUAUGAAAAUUUUGCAUCCUCUUAGUCUCUUAGUGAUGAGCAUCCAAUUUAAAACCAUUUGGUAAUAAGUAAAGGAAUUUAACUUGAAUAUAAGAGUACAAUAAAAUCAAAAGACUUAAUAGAUAUCCGAUGACACCACUUAACACUUAUCAAAUAAGAAAUAACCUUCAAAGAAAUUAUCAGUUUUGCAUUUUCAUUUUACACCAAAAGACUUUUGAAUCAUGAGAGCACGCCUAAUGAUAUUCAAUGUUGUUAAAUAUAUUAUACAUGCGUCAGAGGAAAUUAAGUGAUAUUUUAGAGGCUAUAGAUUGAGCCACUACUGGUCAUAGUAAAAGACAUGCAUAGGCACUACAUUGUCCUUUGGCUAUCCCCUACCCCCAUCAUAAAACUGGAAACUUUUUGUUAGAUUUCUAUCAACCUCCAAAAAAUAAUACUAGAAGAGGUUUUGAACAAUCCAAACAGAAAAAAUAACAUAUUGCUACAGAAAUCUUGGUACUUGGAAGACAAGGUGUUUAUUCAAAGCAACGGUGAAUUUGUGCACAACCAUUUUCGCAACUGCAUUAAAGAAAAAAUCUAUUUAGCAAAGGAUUAAUAAAUUACUAAAUCCAAAAUCUAAAUUCCAAGUCAGUUAAUGAAUAAAGCACAUAUGAACUACCCAAAUUAAACUGUAAUAGAAGAUAAAUUUUCCUAAGACUCACGGAAGCUGGCGAGUGAGUUCGAUUGCUCGGUUACAGCCUCUGAGGAAAGGGGGAAAUUUGGAUGUUUAGGGUUUCUGGAAAUCAAAUAAUGUGGAUCGGGAGGGUAAUAUAUCUGUAGAGUAGAACUAAGAAGUGUUAGUAGUCCAGGAAGUCGGGUUUUUUUUUUUUGUAAAUUUUAGUCAAGCAAAGAAAAAAGAUGAGAAAGAAAAAGGAUCAAUAGACCGAGUAUGAAAGCAAGUAAAUCGUGGGAGAUGAUAUCAAAGAAAAAAAGAACCCUUGAUUUCUUUGUGAAAAUGGUGCCAUUUCAUAAAAAUUACAUAAAUUAGCAGUGUUUAUAGGAAAAAUGCUGCUAUUGCUUUACCUUUUGCAGCGUUAAUGCGAAAAACACUGCUAUUCUUUUACCUUUUG